This 228-nucleotide RNase P RNA is filed under the name Chloroflexota bacterium. RNAcentral describes it as "Chloroflexi bacterium (soil metagenome) partial RNase P RNA component class A". It matches the Rfam family "Bacterial RNase P class A", at positions 1 to 270 of the family's 367-position model. Rfam says of the family: Ribonuclease P (RNase P) is a ubiquitous endoribonuclease, found in archaea, bacteria and eukarya as well as chloroplasts and mitochondria. Its best characterised activity is the generation of mature 5'-ends of tRNAs by cleaving the 5'-leader elements of precursor-tRNAs. Lineage: Bacteria; Bacillati; Chloroflexota. The record is from RNAcentral.
GGAGGCGGCUGGACGGUCGCGGGCGCAUCGGUCGAAAGACUGCGUCCGAGGAAAGUCCGAGCUCCUCAGAGCAGGCUAGCGGGUAACACCCGUCCGCCGUGAGGCGAGGACCAGCGCCACAGUGACGAUGCCCGCUCCUUUCGGGGAGCGGGAGUGAAACGGGCAAGCUCUAGCCGGAGCAAGACCGAAUAGGGGAGCGCAAGGCGGCCUUCGGGCCGCAGCAGGUGG